This 484-nucleotide ribosomal RNA is filed under the name uncultured bacterium. RNAcentral describes it as "partial 16S ribosomal RNA". It matches the Rfam family "Bacterial small subunit ribosomal RNA", at positions 30 to 507 of the family's 1533-position model. The record is from RNAcentral.
AUUGAACGCUGGCGGCAGGCCUAACACAUGCAAGUCGAGCGGAUGAAGGGAGCUUGCUCCUGGAUUCAGCGGCGGACGGGUGAGUAAUGCCUAGGAAUCUGCCUGGUAGUGGGGGAUAACGUCGGGAAACGGGCGCUAAUACCGCAUACGUCCUGAGGGAGAAAGUGGGGGAUCUUCGGACCUCACGCUAUCAGAUGAGCCUAGGUCGGAUUAGCUAGUUGGUGGGGUAAAGGCCCACCAAGGCGACGAUCCGUAACUGGUCUGAGAGGAUGAUCAGGCACACUGGAACUGAGACACGGUCCGGACUCCUACGGGAGGCAGCAGAGGGGUAUAUUGGACAGUGGGCGAAAGCCUGAUCCAACCAUGCCGCGUGUGGUAAGAAGGUCCUCGGAUUGUAAAGCACUUUAAGUUGGGUGGAAGGGCAGUAAGAUAGUACCGUGCUUUUUUGACGUUACCAACAGAAUAAGCACCGGCUAACUUCGUG